GUGACAGGGCUGGGAGCUGCCCGUUCAAGGCUCCCAAACCCAUUAUAAAGGAGGUUCCCUUUUAAUAAUUUUCACCCUAGCAUCCACUUCCCAGGAUACUGUUCUGGGGGAAGCCUUACUGUCUCGAGGCCCAUCAGUCUGUUUGCCCACUCCCCCCUACCCUCGUGGGGGAGUCCUCAGAUUGCAGGCACACCAGCAGGGAGCCCUGAAUUCCUGCCCUCCCAGCUUUUCCUGCAGCCCACAGAGGGGGACAGACAAUGCCCCAGCAAAGAGCACCCAGGCACCUUCAGCCUUCAGCCAACAUGAAGGGACAGAAAGGAAAGGACAAUUUCGUGCAAGGUCUUUAACCAUACCCCACCCCUUACCGGUGGUUGAGUGCCCGAAUUUCUGUUCAGAGGACGCCAUUCCUCCCCCACGCAGCCCACGGACUUCCCAGCAGCUGGCCCUUGCUCGGAAGGUUCCGAAGGGUCUAAGAUUGACGAAGAUCAGCUACACCAAUCAGCACCCAGCUCUCCCUGGACACUGGACUUUCUGUAGGAAUGGCACAUGACCCAGGUCAGACCCCUGGUGGGCGAGCAGUGCCUUGUUGAGGAAUGGAGGAAAAGAUGUUCCUGACCUUAAGGACAGAGCUCCUGAAGACCCCGUCUCUCCUGGUCCGGAUAUUGUGGUGGUAGAUGUGCACCAGUGACAGCUGUUUCAAUUCUGUCCCCACAAGGGAAGUCAGCCAGAGGCAACUGUGGAGAAGUGGGACCAGAGUUCCUGGAUCAAGUCAAUCCUGAGGCCCACCUACCUCUGGAAUCCAGGUCCAAGAGCCAAGGAAGACCUUUUCGUUUGCGCUACUUAGAUUUGAGUUUGUUGUUGUUUAUAAUAUCUCCAAGGCCCUAAAUCAUCAGUGUUUGUGAUAUCACUGAAAUAAACAGGUUUAGAAUGGUGACAGGAUCUUGCUCCAGACGGCACAGUGUUUGGAUUGGUUCUGACUUAAGUGGCAGAAUCGUCGGGGAGGCCCUCACCGCUCACCUGCCCAAUGGUCUGGCUGCCAUGCUUCGGGAAUUCCGGAGAGCCUCUGGCUUACCUGACCCCUUGUCAGAGCUGGAAAGAAAAGUGACACCUCUCGACUCUACUCCAGACAAGACUCAGGGAGAAAAGGCUAUCCCCCCAUAUGUCAGGGAAACCCCUUAGAAUUGAACCCACUGAGAAAAGAACGGAGAUUUGUGCUACAUGGGUGCUCCCUGGGUGCCCAGUUCUCCGCCCAAGGCGGUGGGUAGAAAAUCAUACAGACCAGAGUCAGCGUUCCAUUUAUGAAUAAUUGACCACAUUGUCCAUAUAGGCUCCUGAGGAAGAGCUCAGACCAAGAGUCCCAUCUUGCAGCAAGGAAGGUGUGACACUAAACCCUAGGCCGUAGGAUCCGCUUUUUCUGCCACUAACUACAUCUCCGGGAAGCUGCAGCUGAUAGAAUGACCCAUCCAAGCCUUGGUGUGGGACCGUCCACUGUGUUUCCCUUUUCCCAGGAUACAGUAUGUGCCCUGAACCGACAGGCAGCGCAUGGGGCCGGAGACCGA
This is a long non-coding RNA of Mirounga angustirostris (Northern elephant seal), 1559 nucleotides long. RefSeq lists it as uncharacterized. The record is from RefSeq and is a predicted model, not a curated record. The transcript has 2 exons. Lineage: Eukaryota; Metazoa; Chordata; Mammalia; Carnivora; Phocidae.